RNAcentral lists this ribosomal RNA (460 nucleotides) under uncultured bacterium. RNAcentral's name for it is "partial 16S ribosomal RNA". It matches the Rfam family "Bacterial small subunit ribosomal RNA", at positions 338 to 795 of the family's 1533-position model. The record is from RNAcentral.
CCUACGGGAGGCAGCAGUGAGGAAUAUUGGUCAAUGGACGAGAGUCUGAACCAGCCAAGUAGCGUGAAGGAUGACUGCCCUAUGGGUUGUAAACUUCUUUUAUAUGGGAAUAAAACGUUCCACGUGUGGGAUUUUGUAUGUACCUUAUGAAUAAGGAUCGGCUAACUCCGUGCCAGCAGCCGCGGUAAUACGGAGGAUCCGAGCGUUAUCCGGAUUUAUUGGGUUUAAGGGGAGCGUAGGUGGAUUGUUAAGUCAGUUGUGAAAGUUUGCGGCUCAACCGUAAAAUUGCAGUUGAAACUGGCAGUCUUGAGUACAGUAGAGGUGGGCGGAAUUCGUGGUGUAGCGGUGAAAUGCUUAGAUAUCACGAAGAACUCCGAUUGCGAAGGCAGUUCACUGGACUGCAACUGACACUGAGGCUCGAAAGUGUGGGUAUCAAACAGGAUUAGAUACCCCUGUAGUC